Long non-coding RNA from Numida meleagris (helmeted guineafowl), 1221 nucleotides. The record is from Ensembl. Lineage: Eukaryota; Metazoa; Chordata; Aves; Galliformes; Numididae.
UCUUUUUCUUCUGUUAGAAGGUUUGGCCUACACAUGUAUAAAAUAUUGUGCUUCAUUUUCUUGCAUAAUAGUGACAUAGGCAGUGACAUGGUGUCUUCGCUUUCUGCUUAUGAUUUGCCUGUGUUCUGCAUAGCUUAUCCAUGGAACGGCUGCAAGAAGUUGGGGCUUCCUAAACCCAAAAAGAUACAGAGUAAUUUGCUUUCUAAAUGAAAUAUAGCUUGACUUCCAUUUUUCUUUAACCAAAUGUUGUAAGAAAGAAAGAAAAAAAGAAUAAUUUUAGAAAUAAUUCACAUUUAGUUAACAUGUUUGUACAGCUCUUGAGCUAGUAUCUGUCAAACCCACCUGCAUUCAACACUUUUUGAUAGUGACAUAAACUGCCACAGUUACCUCACUUCAAAUUCUUGGGAAGUUAUCUGCCGCAGUAGAUCUCAGUGCAGAAAUAAACCGAGAUCCAAAGACUAAUUUCAUCUUUGCUAAGUGUUUGUAAGGGGAGAUGAUGUCAGUGCCUACCCAUUGCGAGUGAAAACUGGAGUGCUCUGCUAUCUGGACUCCCACCCUCCCCAUUACCACGGCUUGAUUUAAUUGGUUCCUAUUUUCUGAGCUGAGAUUAAUGCACAAAUCUACCCAUGAUGUCAUGAACUGGGACAAAUGCUUCUAACAUCCCUACAUGUUCUACUACCCACUCUUAAAAAGGACUGCUGGCUUGCAAGGUAAGACCAACCCACCCUCUACGUGGUCUUCUCUAGAGGCUUUGGUGACACUGGAGCCCUUGGAAAAUGUGACCUCACAAUUACUGCAGUAGACCCUGUGUGACAUUGGAGCAAACGUACUGAAACCUGUGGGUGCACUGCCACUGCUCACAAAGGCUCUUUCUGCUUGAGGCCCUUUUCCACCUCCUGAGCCCUCCCCUUACAAUGCAGUCUUUCUGGGGGCUUUUGGUGCUCUCCAGUCUGGCUGUGCAGGGUGCUUUUUGUUUGUUUUCUUUCCCAGACGCAGGCAACGCUGCCCCUCUUGGGGCAGUGCAUGAGGGAGAUGGAUCGCACUCAGGUAUUACAUACUUUGAAACAAAUGUAAUGGUUGGUUUAAUUGGAGAUGGCUUUGGAGGAGCUGCAGCGGCUGCCAUUUAUGUCAGUGGCUUUCCUACCAGUAAUCCAAAUAUUCAUGGAAAGUGGAUUGAGAAAGAGUGUCAAUAACACUGAAAUAAAUUCAGAGCUUUCUUCA